CCCCUAGAUGUUCUGGGCCGCACGCGCGCUACACUGAACAGUUCAACAAGUCUUAACCUUGGCCGAUAGGUCUGGGUAAUCUUUGAACGCUGUUCGUGAUUGGGAUAGACCUUUGCAAUUAUGGGUCUUCAACGAGGAAUUCCUAGUAAACGCAAGUCAUCAGCUUGCAUUGAUUACGUCCCUGCCCUUUGUACACACCGCCCGUCGCACCUACCGAUUGAAUGGUCCGGUGAAAUCUCGGGACGGCGGCUUGGUCGCUUGCGUCCGACUGCUGAAACUUGAUUAAACCAUAUCAUUUAGAGGACGGUGAAGUCGUAACA
This 320-nucleotide ribosomal RNA is filed under the name uncultured eukaryote. RNAcentral's name for it is "partial 18S ribosomal RNA". It matches the Rfam family "Eukaryotic small subunit ribosomal RNA", at positions 1470 to 1796 of the family's 1831-position model. The record is from RNAcentral.